This 64-nucleotide transfer RNA is filed under the name Belzebub intermedius. Its description in RNAcentral is "tRNA-Leu". The record is from RNAcentral. Lineage: Eukaryota; Metazoa; Arthropoda; Malacostraca; Decapoda; Luciferidae.
UCUAAAAUGGCAGACAGAUGCCUAGGAUUUAAGCUCCUAUUAGGAAGUUUUACUUCUUUUAGAA